This 2598-nucleotide long non-coding RNA is filed under the name Actinidia chinensis (golden kiwifruit). RNAcentral describes it as "long non-coding RNA (ACHI_LNC001445)". Lineage: Eukaryota; Viridiplantae; Streptophyta; Magnoliopsida; Ericales; Actinidiaceae. The record is from RNAcentral.
UUCAAUACUAAAGAGCUCCCAAGAGUUUUGGUGCAAGAUGCCACCCAUCAAAUUAUUUACUCAAACCAGUUUUUGGUAUUCAACUGUUGAACAAGUGACAAAAAAUAUUUAACCAUGCUGACAUUGACAAUCUCAUAAGCAAAUUAAUUGUGAUUUUGUUUUGUUUACUUACUUGGAUAUAUAUGCCUAUACGUUCUGUUUCACCAAUAUUUCACAGGCUGCAAAGAACGUGUUUAGUGAUGGUAAAUGUAUAUUUGACAUCUGCAGUCUGCAAAGAAGGUGUUUAGUGAUGGUAUAUAUGGAUUUGACAUCCUAUGCGAUCGAUUUGAACGUGACGUAUUACGUUUGGCAUCAACCUAGGAUUGAGUUCCUUUUCCUCAUGCAUUCAGUCUCUAUUUUUCUUGUCAAUUUCCAGAAUUCUAAAUUUAUUUGAUUGAGGUAUGAAACUAAAUUCUUCUCCAUGUUUUGUUGUGGCGUAGUUGAAUGCAGAUGCUUACACUUUUGAUUAUAUAUUUGCAAGUCUACCAUAAAUAUGACGAUCCAUCCUGGUUGAAAUUUCACAAUUGAUUGUCUGUUAACUUGACAAUGCUCAAGUACAGGUUCAAAGUUUAUCCUGAGCUGGAACCUAGAAAUCCCCUUCCACAAUCAUCUGCUUGUUCACCCUAGGUUUAAUAUUUCUUUUGUCUUUCUUCUUUUUGUUAUUGGUUGGUAUGUGCAGCUUAUUUUUUGAUUGAAUUUUGCACUCACCCACUUAAGUGUUUAUGGAUCUGUAUCCUACUUUCUUAGCAGACUCAUGCUAGGUAUUCAAAGUUCUGUGUUUAUCCCUUUAGCUUAUCAAACCUUGAAGAGGUGGAUAAUAGCUAAACAUUUGUAUGCAAAAAUCACGCUUUUUCCCGUGUUAUUGAAGUAAUAUUUUUUUCUCCCUAGUUUCAUUGCUUAAACCAUCAUUUUUGAGUUAGUAGGAAAGAAUCCAUGAGGAUUUCCAAGUAUCGUUCAGUUGUAGGCACUAUUGAGCCGUAGUGUUUUAUGGUGGUGGGGAUAUGAGCAACAAUCCCAUUUCCGGUCUAAUUUUAAUUUUAAUAUGGUACAAUUGAUGAUAUAUAAUUAUGAUUAGGAAAGCCUAGAUAUGGUUGUUGUAUACACUUGGUAUUAUAUUACACAUAUUUUAUACAAAUCUACAUAAUAAGUUAGCUCAUUUUUUUGAAAAUUUCCAUGACAUUCAAUGGCUCCGAUGAGUUUUCCUGGCAAAGACGGCCAAUAUAUGCCUUUACCUUUCACCAAAUGACUAGGAAAAUCAAGGGCUCUGAUUGAUUUUGUCCUUAAUGCACAAUGAGGAUUGUUUUUUAACUUUCAGCCCACCAAAAUGUGUCUAUUCUGUUUUAGUUUAAGAGAAGAUUUGUGGAGAUGUUUCAACCCUUAAAUGGUGUUGUCAACCCAUUAGCCGCCUGAUCAAUUCUUAACGUAUACACAAAAUCCAGGACUAGGAACUCUGUUCCCUCGUAGCGUCUCUACCUUGCGAUGGAGUGGCUCUACGAUGAAGCUAGGGCUCACAACGUCUCUGUCUCUGCGAUGAAGCUAGGGCUUAAUCCAACAAUCAACUUCUCUUGAAAAUCAAGGCCUUCGCCCCUCUCACCGGACCACUAUUACCGUGAUGAGUAAGGACACUCUCCCCCUUUUUAUGAUUUUUCGAAAGGGUAUCUUCACGCUAUCCUCUAUUUCAGAAAUCCAUUGUCUUCAUCAAUCCCUUUUCCUUCAAUAAAUGAUUUGAUUUUUCUUUUGGAUUUUGUUUUGCCAGGCGUUUCUUGUGUGACAUUUUAAUUUUGAAGGUCAGGUUCUCUUUCUCUCUCUUUCAUAAAUCUAUGAUAAAAUAUGGUUAUGUUUAAUUGGUUAUGGAUUCAAUUUCUGUGCUAUCAGAAAAAUGGUUGAAGGUGUGAAAAGUGGUUGUCUAACCAUUGAAACAUUUGGUUUUUAGGUCAAAGGGGGGAAUUCUUGAGAUAGUGUUGGAUUAUGUUGCAACUCAUCAAAGAGAUCUCCAGCACCAUCAAAUUGCCCAGCUCAACUACACUCUGUAAUCAGUUUCUCCUCUUGCUGCCUUUUUUGGGGUACAUAAAGUUAUGAUCAUUUUUUUUUUUUACUUUCUUCAUGUUGUGUUUGCGAUUAUGGUUUGCGAAUUUAACUUGCAAUACUCAUUUGGGUGUUUGGGCUUCAUUUAAAUUCAAGGAUUGUUAUAUUUGAAAUUUGGUGCUAAUAGAUACUAUUAAAUUUGAGAAGGACCUGGCUUAUUUGGAUUUUAGAGAAUUGUAGAGACAAUAAGUGUGAGUCUCUUGCUAGGUUGUAUUUGAAACAGGUGGAUCACAUAAAUUUUAGGUUGAGCAACUCAUUUUUUAAAACAAGAAUUCCAAUGCAGUAAGAGAAACAUUAUCAUACAUGUUUCAAUGCUUGGAAGUAGGUGGGUUUUAACAUUUUAGGUGAGCUUACUUUUUUCCUCAUACUUUUCCUUAUUUUUCUGUAGCACCUAGUUUCUCUUCCAUCGAGGUGCAAUUCAAGCAUUUUGGGUCCUAUUUUUAGCCUAUUUUGAUGAUCUAAACCAUUCAACUC